CACGAAGUUGCGUGAGCUAAGGAGUACAUAUAGUAGUAGAAAAGUGUUGCAAAAUGUGGGAGAGUAGUCCUUAGGGGUGAUAGGCUUUCCAAACGCAGCGAUAACUUGUUUGCCCUGAAACUUAUUUAGUAUAGUACAAGUCCGGAGUGCUUAGAUUCCGGACAGGGAUCAAUUAUCUGUAUGAUUACUUAUCGAGUGUAAAAACGUAUAAGCGGCAAUUAUAAUAUUAAUUUGUUUCAGUUAUCUACAAUAAGGGAAAGUAUUUUUACUAGCUAUUAUACUUAUAAUGUUAAUAUUAGUAAUAUUAAAAGUGUGUUGAAUGAACUCGGCUGGAGUUUCUCGACUGUUUACCAAAAACAUAGCUAAUUGCAAUUACAAUUAGUACUUCCUGCUCAAUGACAUGUUAAAUAGCCGCAGUACUUUGACUGUGCAAAGGUAGCAUAAUCAAUUGGCUCAUAAUUGGAGCCUGGAAUGAAAGGACAUACGGGAAACUACUGUAUCCAGCAUUUACGUUAAACUUGCCUACCGAGUGAAAAUGCUCGGGGCAAAAUGUUAGACGAGAAGACCCUAGAAAUUUGUAGCAAUGUUUAGUUGGGGCAACGUGGUAGGAGUAAACCUACAUUAAGGACAAGCAAUAAUUUAGACAGAAAAAAUUACUCUAGGGAUAACAGCAUAAUUUAGGAAAGUUUGUGACCUCGAUGUUGGAUUUGGGAAUAACAGUUCAGA
This 726-nucleotide ribosomal RNA is filed under the name Rhagada sp. 'Bachsten Ck'. Its description in RNAcentral is "partial 16S ribosomal RNA". It matches the Rfam family "Bacterial large subunit ribosomal RNA", at positions 714 to 2615 of the family's 2925-position model. The record is from RNAcentral. Lineage: Eukaryota; Metazoa; Mollusca; Gastropoda; Stylommatophora; Camaenidae.